UACGUAGGUGGCAAGCGUUGUCCGGAAUUAUUGGGCGUAAAGCGCGCGCAGGCGGUCCUUUAAGUCUGAUGUGAAAGCCCACGGCUCAACCGUGGAGGGUCAUUGGAAACUGGGGGACUUGAGUGCAGGAGAGAAGAGUGGAAUUCCACGUGUAGCGGUGAAAUGCGUAGAGAUCGGCAGGAACACCCAGGGGGAAACCAGUCGACUGGGCAUCUACUGACGCUGAGGUGCGAGAGCGUGGGGAGCGAACCGG
RNAcentral lists this ribosomal RNA (253 nucleotides) under uncultured bacterium. RNAcentral describes it as "partial 16S ribosomal RNA". It matches the Rfam family "Bacterial small subunit ribosomal RNA", at positions 524 to 776 of the family's 1533-position model. The record is from RNAcentral.